GCGACUUCGGUCAAGUGACUUUUGAACUUAGUGGCGGACGGGUGAGUAACGCGUGAGCAACCUGCCUUUCAGAGGGGGAUAACAUUUGGAAACAGAUGCUAAUACCGCAUAAGAUUACAGUACCGCAUGAUACAGUGAUCAAAGGAGCAAUCCGCUGAAAGAUGGGCUCGCGUCCGAUUAGAUAGUUGGUGAGGUAACGGCUCACCAAGUCGACGAUCGGUAGCCGGACUGAGAGGUUGAACGGCCACAUUGGGACUGAGACACGGCCCAGACUCCUACGGGAGGCAGCAGUGGGGAAUAUUGCACAAUGGGCGAAAGCCUGAUGCAGCAACGCCGCGUGAGGGAAGACGGUUUUCGGAUUGUAAACCUCUGUUUUCGGUGACGAACAAAUGACGGUAACCGAGUAGGAAGCCACGGCUAACUACGUGCCAGCAGCCGCGGUAAUACGUAGGUGGCAAGCGUUAUCCGGAAUUACUGGGUGUAAAGGGAGCGCAGGCGGGAUAGCAAGUCAGCUGUGAAAACUAUGGGCUCAACCCAUAAACUGCAGUUGAAACUGUUAUUCUUGAGUGGAGUAGAGGCAAGCGGAAUUCCGAGUGUAGCGGUGAAAUGCGUAGAUAUUCGGAGGAACACCAGUGGCGAAGGCGGCUUGCUGGGCUCUAACUGACGCUGAGGCUCGAAAGUGUGGGGAGCAAACAGGAUUAGAUACCCUGGUAGUCCACACUGUAAACGAUGAUUGCUAGGUGUGGGGGGUCUGACCCCCUCCGUGCCGGAGUUAACGCAAUAAGCAAUCCACCUGGGGAGUACGGCCGCAAGG
This 814-nucleotide ribosomal RNA is filed under the name uncultured bacterium. Its description in RNAcentral is "bacterial SSU rRNA". It matches the Rfam family "Bacterial small subunit ribosomal RNA", at positions 66 to 893 of the family's 1533-position model. The record is from RNAcentral.